AUUUAUAUAGUUUAACAAAAACAAUACAUUUUCAUUGUAUUAAUAAUAAUUUUAUUAUUUAUAAAUA
This 67-nucleotide transfer RNA is filed under the name Deracantha onos. RNAcentral's name for it is "tRNA-Glu". The record is from RNAcentral. Lineage: Eukaryota; Metazoa; Arthropoda; Insecta; Orthoptera; Tettigoniidae.